UGAGUAACACGUGAGCAACCUGCCCCUGACUCUGGGAUAAGCGCUGGAAACGGCGUCUAAUACUGGAUAUGUGACGUGACCGCAUGGUCUGCGUCUGGAAAGAAUUUCGGUUGGGGAUGGGCUCGCGGCCUAUCAGCUUGUUGGUGAGGUAAUGGCUCACCAAGGCGUCGACGGGUAGCCGGCCUGAGAGGGUGACCGGCCACACUGGGACUGAGACACGGCCCAGACUCCUACGGGAGGCAGCAGUGGGGAAUAUUGCACAAUGGGCGGAAGCCUGAUGCAGCAACGCCGCGUGAGGGAUGACGGCCUUCGGGUUGUAAACCUCUUUUAGCAGGGAAGAAGCGAAAGUGACGGUACCUGCAGAAAAAGCGCCGGCUAACUACGUGCCAGCAGCCGCGGUAAUACGUAGGGCGCAAGCGUUAUCCGGAAUUAUUGGGCGUAAAGAGCUCGUAGGCGGUUUGUCGCGUCUGCUGUGAAAUCCGGAGGCUCAACCUCCGGCCUGCAGUGGGUACGGGCAGACUAGAGUGCGGUAGGGGAGAUUGGAAUUCCUGGUGUAGCGGUGGAAUGCGCAGAUAUCAGGAGGAACACCGAUGGCGAAGGCAGAUCUCUGGGCCGUAACUGACGCUGAGGAGCGAAAGGGUGGGGAGCAAACAGGCUUAGAUACCCUGGUAGUCCACCCCGUAAACGUUGGGAACUAGUUGUGGGGUCCAUUCCACGGAUUCCGUGACGCAGCUAACGCAUUAAGUUCCCCGCCUGGGGAGUACGGCCGCAAGGCUAAAACUCAAAGGAAUUGACGGGGACCCGCACAAGCGGCGGAGCAUGCGGAUUAAUUCGAUGCAACGCGAAGAACCUUACCAAGGCUUGACAUAUACGAGAACGGGCCAGAAAUGGUCAACUCUUUGGACACUCGUAAACAGGUGGUGCAUGGUUGUCGUCAGCUCGUGUCGUGAGAUGUUGGGUUAAGUCCCGCAACGAGCGCAACCCUCGUUCUAUGUUGCCAGCACGUAAUGGUGGGAACUCAUGGGAUACUGCCGGGGUCAACUCGGAGGAAGGUGGGGAUGACGUCAAAUCAUCAUGCCCCUUAUGUCUUGGGCUUCACGCAUGCUACAAUGGCCGGUACAAAGGGCUGCAAUACCGCGAGGUGGAGCGAAUCCCAAAAAGCCGGUCCCAGUUCGGAUUGAGGUCUGCAACUCGACCUCAUGAAGUCGGAGUCGCUAGUAAUCGCAGAUCAGCAACGCUGCGGUGAAUACGUUCCCGGGUCUUGUACACACCGCCCGUCAAGUCAUGAAAGUCGGUAACACCUG
Molecule: ribosomal RNA, 1304 nt
Filed under: Microbacterium sp.
Lineage: Bacteria; Bacillati; Actinomycetota; Actinomycetes; Micrococcales; Microbacteriaceae
Description: bacterial SSU rRNA
Rfam family: Bacterial small subunit ribosomal RNA
Source: RNAcentral